Molecule: long non-coding RNA, 10961 nt
Filed under: Cicer arietinum (chickpea)
Lineage: Eukaryota; Viridiplantae; Streptophyta; Magnoliopsida; Fabales; Fabaceae
Description: long non-coding RNA (CARI_LNC002871)
Source: RNAcentral
GCGAAGACGAAGCGCUGUUUUCGCGAAGAUCAGUGCCAUUUUCGCGAAGAUCCGACCAGUUUAACGCCGUAUCGACCUGCAUGUUCAGUUUUGCAUCUCUUCACCUUCAAAUUCUGCAGUCGUGUUAAUGGGUUUGUAUCCUAGUUUUUUGGAAAACGGGGCUUUGCAUUAAAAAAAACCUAACAAAUUAUGACUUGUGUCGUUUUGCUUACUUUGUUUUCUCUUUUUUUACUAAUCGUUUUGCUUACUCCUUUUCUCUAUUAUCGUCGUUUUGCCUGCUCUAUGAAAUAGUUUGUUUCUUUUUAGAUUUUAAUAAUUAAUUAAUAAUAAUAAUUGCUUUUUUUCCUAGUCAGAUCGUUUUGUUUACUCAAUUAAAUAGCUUUUUUUUUUUGGUUUUGAAUAAUUAAUAACUGCUGUUGUGAUUUAAAAACUACAAACAUAUAAUAAUUUUAAAUUAUAUUAAAAUCUGAUUUUGAAGGCAGCAACCUGGACUUAGUUUUUUUUUAUUAAUUGCGUUUCAACUUUGGAAUUUUUAAUACUUAAAUUAAAUUAAAGUUUUAGAUGUUGUUAGAUGAUGGUGAUAGAUUUUGUUUUCUUAUUUGAGACAAUGGUAAUAGCUUUUUGUGUUUCAGCUUGUGACUUUUUAUUGAACCAAUGAAAAUUUUUAUGUUAAGGUUAUUUUUUUUAAUUUUAUGGUAUAAUUUUUUCUAUUUUGUGAGAUCUUAAGAUCCGUGUUACAAUCCUACGAUCUACACUUUUUCUAUAUCCCAAAGAUCUUAGGUAGGAUCUAGAGUUUGACAACCUUAGAUGAAGCAACAAAAAACACAGACCUAAGCCCUAAUAGAAAGUUGUCCAGUCUCAAGGCCGUUGUUAACUAAAAAAGAAACUUAGGAUAGGUUUUAAGAGUUUCUAGUAUCCUAUUGUCUAUCCCUACCUUUCCAUGUUUCAACCUUCUAAAAACUAUAAAUCAUUUAUUGUUAAUGGUUAAUCCAGAGGGGUUAAGAUCCUCUCUGCUUUUAAAUCUCUUCAUUUGUUUCAUUACUAUAGUUUUUGGACACAUAACUGAUAAAAAUGCGCACAUUCCCAAAAUAUGCGACAUUAAUUAGACAUUUAUAAACUAAAAUCAUAUUAAUGAAGAUGUUCAUUUCUUUUAAGAAAUGGUGAGGAUCUCAAUGCAGACAUAUGCAGUUAACUAAAUUGAUAAUUACCUAAAGUAGAACAUACAGUUAAUUAUUAUUCUUUGUCAAAGUCUUUGUUAAAGUUAAAGUGAUAUCUAUAUCUAUAUUGCCAAUGGAAUCAAUGUAAUUGUAGACUUGCUCCCAUAAUUAUGUGAACCAGGUAAUCAAUUUUAACCACUGUUAGAAAAUAAAUAAAAUAGACAUUAAUAAUUAAUAAUUAUAACUAAACCUAAAUCCAUUUUAGAUAUGUGAACUAUUUCAAGCUAAUCAUCACCUGCUUACCACCCGGGUAAUUGUUGGUUGAAUAAAUAUAUGAACCCUGUAAAAAAUACAAGUAUGCUGUCAAGAAAUCAAACUACAUACAAAUUGAGGGACAGAAAAAUUAUUAAGGGAUAAGGAAUAGAAGUUGCAACACCAGAAACAAAACUCUCAUAUGCAAAAUAUAACAUUUCAUAAGGAAUGAAACCUAUGAUUAUUCAAAAGGAGAAAGAAAAAAAAAAAACUACAGCAAUUUACACAUAGCAGAGCAAUAAUAAUGUACAAAACACGCUUGAUUAGCAAGUAAUCUUCUGGCACUUUCAUAAAUCAUGUAAUAUCCCAACAACAAGGUAGGCAAAGGACGAAGGGACUCUUACGUCAGUAAAUUAUGUAGCAUCUAUAAGCAAAACACCAAAAAUUACCCAUCUAGGUGACCCAAGGAACCAAAAUUGAAGGGAAUGGUAUAACAGAAAGAAAUAGAGACAAUAAAUAGGGAAUUGGUUAUAUAUGAGUAUUAAUAGGAAUCUGGUUGUAGAGUAACCUUGUAUAUAUAUAUAUAUAUAUAUAUAUAUAUAUGAUGUAUUGUCAACAUAUUUCAAUUCAAUUAAAUAAAUUUUUAACCUAAUUUUUUAGAUGGUAUUAAAGCUCUCGAUCUUUGGGAAUCUCGCUUCCAUAUAAACCCGUCACCUUCAUUGCGGUUUCUUUUUCUUAAAACCUUAGCCACUUUCAUUGUGCCCCUUUUUGAUGCCUUCAUUGCAGCAACUUGAGAUUUCUUUUUGGCCUAUUCACACUGUUACUGCUCACGUCUGUUUGACCGCCUAGUUCACGCCACUGCCCAUAACACAAUACUCGCCUCCAUUAGAUCGGUCAAAUCCCAAAGCACCGCCGUCAACGGCUUAUUCACGCACCCUCACGUGAGCCUUCCAGUCUAGCGUGUGACGCCUACUCGCGACGUCAUCUCUGGCGCAUACAAUAGACCUUUGUUCACCGCCAUUUUCAACUAGAUUGCAGAUAGGUCGUUUCUCAUUCUGUUUUGAGUGUUCACUUUCCAAUCGGAUAACUUUUGUUUUUGGGUCAUUUGAAGCUCACGGUUUUGCUCGGACUUUUUUGUUAGACUUUGAGGUUUGUUUUGUUAGAUAGAUCAAUUUUUCGUCUUUAAUAUCAUUUUUCUGUUGGCUUUACGGAUAUGACAGCUAAAGAAAGUAAAAGUGGAUUGACCCGACUCAAUGAAGAUGAGAUCCUUUCUUAGUAAGUUGGAGAAACCAACAGGUACUAGUUCUCUAGUAUAUACAAGGACACUUCCUCUUGGUAAGUUUCAAUUUUCUUUUGGACUUAAUGCUUCAAAUACACCGUAUAACCAAUAUUGCCCUAACAACAAGAAAAUAUCUACAUCAGAAGGUACCCUUAUAACAAAUCUUAUGUCCUUCAGGACAAGAAUUCGAGGACUAGAAUUAGUGAUGCUAGAGAAUGGAAUGGUCUUUAUUACUUGAAUAAUCAAAAUAUUCCUCCAAAUCUACUCAGCAAUAGCAACUCUUUUUUCUAAAUCAAUAAAGACCAACAGGGUCAAGGUGAUUUUGUACUACAGUUUCGUUGGUCAUCAUUCAUUUAGAGUCAUAAAACAGUUGUUUCCUUUACUCUUCAAGAAAUUAGAGGUAGAAAUUCUUCAAUGUGAGGUGUGUAAGCUUGUUAAACACAAACGUGUACCUUUUUCAGUUAGUAACCAAAUGAGCACUUCUUUAUUUUGUUUAGUUCAUACGGAUGUAUGGGGUCCCUCUAAUGUUCUAAACACAUCAGGUGUCCGUUGGUUUGUAAACUUAAUUGAUGACUGUACUCGGGUAAGUUGGGUUUACUUAUUAAAACAAAAAUUUGUAGUCAGUUCUAUGUUUGUACAGUUCUUCUCCAUGAUAAAAAACCAAUUUGGAGUGAAUAUUAAGAGGAUUAGGUCCGAUAACGCCAAAGAUAUAGAAGAACAUAUUGCUGCUAACACGUUUUGUAAGCUAAAGAAGGCCCUAUAUGGGCUUAAGCAAUCGCCGCGAGUGUGGUUUGGGAGGUUUGCUAGUGUCAUGAUUGGGAUUGCCUUCAAACAAAGCCAAUGAGAUCAUACCCUCUUUAUCAAACACUCUGAGUCAGGAGGAGUAACAGUGUUAUUGGUAUACGUUGAUGACAUUAUAGUAACCGAUGAUGUUGAAAAGGAACAACAAAUGUUAGGACCACACCUAGCCAAGGAAUUUGAGAUUAAAACCUCGGAAAAAGAGAAGUAUUUCUUGGGAAUUGAAGUAGCUCACUCUAAGAAAGGGUUUUCAUAUCCAAACAAAAAUACAUCACAGAUCUUCUACAAGAAACGAGCAAGAUAGCAUACAAGCUAGCGAAUAUACCAAUUAAUCCAAAUUUAAAGUUGGGAAAAGUAGAAGAUAUUGUAGUUGACAAAGAAAUGGAUCAAAGAUUAGUUGAAAGACUCAUAUAUUUGUUCCAUACUAGACCUAAUGUUGCCUUCGCUGUAAGCCUCGUCAGUAAAGUAUCUAAAUUCAGUGCUGAAACAGAAUUUAGGGGCACAAGAGAUAUGCGAGUUACUAUGGUUGAAGAACAUUUUGGAGUACCUGAAAAUAAAGUGGGAUGAACCAAUGCAACUCUAUUGUGAUAAUAAAUAUGUUAUUAGCAUAGCACAUAAUCUAGUGCAGUAUGACAAAACUAAGCAUAUUGAAGUUGAUAGGCAUUUCAUCAAAGAACCAAGCAUAUGUCUCCUCCCAAGUCAACCUUGCAGAUCUUCUAACUAAAGGGCUAAAUAGCAGCAACUUUGAAAGAAUUAUAUCCAAGUUGGUAAUAGAGAACAACUAUUUACUAGCUUGAAGGAGAGUGUCAAAAUCUGUUUUUGUUUGAUUAGUAAAAUUAUCCCUCAAGUAUAGGAAUUUGGUUGUAUAGGAGUACUAAUAAGGAUUUAGUUAUAUAGGAGUACUAAUAAGAUUUGGUUGCAUAAUAACCUCUUAUAUAUAUAUAUAUGAUGUAUUGUCAACAUGUUUCAAUUCUAUGAAAUAUAUUUUUAUCCUAAUCCUUGAGAUAAUGGUAUUCCUGAUCCUAUCUUGUCUUGUGUGACCACUUACAUAUACUUCUUACCAUAUUCAAAUCUGCACCCUUGAGUUUACUUUCUUGUAGGCUCUUUACAACCCAACAUUUAGUCCCACACAACAAUACAAAUCCUACAUUUGUGCAAUAAAAAAUUUCCUUAAAGCUGGAGCAGUAUUUUUGUGUUCUGGAUCAUAGUCGUACACCUACGUUUCAUCCUCCUGAUUUAGAUUCGAUGGUUGACAGUUCACUCUAUCUCUAUGUAAUUUUGUAUGACCGACCCAAGCAUCUUGAAAUGUGAUAUUUGUGGCACUGUAUAUUCUCCAUUUUUCGCUGAUAUAUUGUGAUUUGUGCAUCUCUCGCUAAAUUUGCAUUUCAAAUACUUUUUUUUACUCCUACUUAGGUGGAAGCCGUGUAUUUUUUUUAAACCUUGUCUCCAUAGUCCAUAUUAAAAAAAAUUCUUCCUUCCCUCAACUCCAACUAAAACUAUAUCUACCACAAUAGGCAGGAAAUGCGGAACUAUCUCUGCCAUAUGUGCAAUAAGCGCAUCUAGACCUAGACCGAAAACAAAAAGGUAAAGACCCAAAGACGGUCGUCAGUGCACACCUAUAGCUAAAGGAAAAUCUUUUGUAUUUCCACCUUUUGCUAUCACACUAGCUGGGGCCUCUCCAUACAUAUCUAAUUGAGUCUAUGUAAGAAAUUUGACCUCCUAUAGUUUAUAAACCUUCUGCAACAGCCCUCUUUGUAGUUCAUAUAUCUUCUCCAAUAUUUUUCCAUCAAUACUUAGUAAGUAUAUUGGUUUAAUAUUUGACAAACAGAAUUGAUUUUUUUUGAUGUGGGUCUCAUCAUAAUCUCCAUUCAAUUACUCUCUCCAAAUUUAAAAUGACUUGUGGGUUGGAUUAUCCUAAAAUAAAUUGUAUAGUUUUGUAUGUCAUCUUUGUUCUUAAAAUUAGUUAUUAAUAAUGUCCACAGCCUUAUCAUUAUCCUAACUCAUCCUUACAAAACUGACUUGUAAGGUAAGGAGUGUCUCUCUUUGUAAACUCAUUUGAGACCUUAUCUUUAUUUAUGUGAGACUUAAGUUUUUCCAAAUACACCCUCUUACGCUCAGUACUAUUGAGUUUGGCGCGUGGAUAUAAAUGGAGGGGUGUCUGUAUCUUUAACUCUUUUGACACCUUAUCUUUAUUCCAUGUGGGACUUGGGUUUUUCUAUACAGUCAUUGGAGUAUAGUUAUCAAUCCUAAAUAAGCUCAACCAUUGAAAGGAAAUUCCCUUUUGGAUAUUGUGUAUUUAUCAGAGGAUACUUAAUAUCUUCGUAGAGCAAUAAACAGAGUGUAGUUUAAAAGGUCAAAUGCAAGAGCCAAAUACACGGCCAUGGCAUUAGUGACUAGUGAACUUAUUUAGUUAAUAAGAUACUCAGAUGUAGAUGACACUUAUGUGUAAGAAUUAAUCGGCAUUUCAUAAUGCUUCUAAUCAUAUUAUUCAUGAUAGGACCAAACAUUGAGAUAGAUUGUCACUUCACAACGAGCUUUGCCAACACCAAUGAUCAACUACAAGAUGCCUUCAUCAAAUCCCUAAUCGGUCCUCGAGUUAGUUAUCUUUGUAACAAGGUUGGCGCAUAUGAUUUAUAUGCUCUAGUUGCAUGAGUGUUGAAAAUAGAUUAGAAUCUUUGAAUUUAUUGACAUUGUGUACGCAUAAUGUCUCAUGUAAAUAGGAUAGUAUCUCCUAUAUUUACUUUGUAUUUAUCACCUGGAGUUUAUAUAAAACUAACUCCAUUAUGUAGUUGAGACACAUAGUUUCAUCAUCUCAUAUUGGUGUUCUCUCUAGUUCAAAAGUACUAACUGUGGGACCCAAUGUCACUAAGCCAUAUAUACUUAAAAGUACUCAUAAAUUCUAUGAAAGAAAUAAUAGAACUAAAGGAAUAAAUUAUGAGUUAUUCAAUUGUGAUUGUUUAGCAUUUACAAGAAAUACUGGCUAAGCCAUUUAUAAUGAAACCAAAAAAACAUAUUGGAAACAUAAUCCAAAUGAGGAUGUAUUCAUAAGAAUCAAUGUUCUAUACAUCCUUCCAUUUCUUUCAAAUCAAAGAUGGGGAGGAUUAUGAAGACCAAUUGACUUCCCUAAUAAUGGUAUGAACAAUGAACAAAUGUGUAUAUAAGAUGGGUGGUUUGACUAUUUUGAUUUACAUCCAAAUAGAGAAAAUGUAAGGUCCAAGACUAUGUUUUAUCACAAAAAAAAAAGUUUGAGACUAUGGAAAAACUAGAACAGGUAACUUGAGGUCAAGCUAUAAGGGCUGUAGAAAAUAGGAAAGCUUUCCUUCAACACUUUCUCGAAUUGGGGAUUAGUCCUUGGUUAAAAUUGUUGAGGUUGAUGGAUAAUGAAUUAUAAGGGAAACCUAAUAAAAAUGCUAAUAAGGUUUUAAUACAACAAAAUUUUCAAAAUGUGACAAAUAAGUAUGACAAAUAUUUAGAAUAUCCAAGAUCUAGAACAUUAAUAUCAUACAUUGAUUAUCCAGAUUAGUAACUUACUUGGCCACUUGGCGUAAUGAUCUUAAGGCAGGUGCAUAUAGGUCAUUACAUAUGCAAAUCACCUACAUUCAGAACAAAUAUCAUCAUUGCAAAUGGUGUCACCAAUUUUAUUAUUGCAAAUGAACAGUCUUGUGAAUGAUGUAUGACACAAUACGAAAAUCUGAUACUCACAGGUCUUGACAGUGACGCAGUUUUCCGCCCUUUCUUUGAUGACUUCCUUUCCAUUUGUCCUUUAUCCAAACUUUGCUUCCCUGCAUCAGGCUUCCUCUCAGCAGAAAUCUGCAACAUUUAGAUUGAAUUGAGCUUUAUGAAUUCCCAAUGGCAAAUUUCUUAACAUGUAGGCAAUGCCAAUACUUUCCAGUUUCCACAAGAAACAAGGCCUUAAUCCCAAUUUUCCAGUUAGUGGUAGGUAUAACAGCAUAAUAUCCUUCGGGUAGAAAACUAUAUGGUUCUUUUUUAGAAUUAAUGGCACGUGACCCAAUAGAAAAGCCAUAUCAUUGCUCUCACAACCUAGGAAAAUAAUUGCAUGAUAAAAAGUAUUUAAAUAUUUCAUAUAUUGUGUUGUUUAGAGCCCAAAUAUCUGACUUCAGCCUCUUAAAGUACAUUAACUCUCUUUUAAACGGAGAAUUUAAGUGAAGAAAACCUGAAUGUCAAAAGGCAAAAUAGAACCAGAGAACUACAUACAAUUCAAAUCAAUUCUAUUUUAAUAUGUCUGGUUAUGAUUUUGCAUUUUAUUUGUAUUGAUGAAUAAACUAAAAUAAAAGCAAAAUACUAACUUUUUUAAAGAAAAUAAGACCUUAGACAAUGUUAAAAGAACCUUCAACUAACUAUGAUUAAGGUCUUCUUAGAUAAUUCAGUUUGAAAGAGAGAUCAAAUAUAGCAUCUAUCACUGACCAUCUUUAAAAGAACUUCCACAGCACCUUUUCCAUCACUAAGGGCUCCAUCAAUUUCAUCCACCACCUGAGAAGAAAAGAAGACAACCAUUUUCACCCAAUGAUAGUAAGAUACAAAGUGAAAAUACUGAGAAAAGAAAAUACCAGACACUUUGGCUUUGAAUCAGACAAGACAGAGUUCAUCUGAACCACAUCAAGGAUUUUUGCUUCAAUCGUUGAUGUAGAACGAUCAUCACUAGCAUUAACCUGCAAAACAUUAAACUCAGUUCAAUAUAUAUUGAAAAAAGGGAUUUACUUACAGGAGGAGAGAAAGAGAGAAUAAGAUAAUGACCAAUCUAAAAUUGAUAUUUGUUUAAUGCGAAAUAAAUAUGAAAUACUUUAUCGUACAAUUGUAAGACCGGCGAUGUUGUAUGGGAUAAAUAAGCGUAGCAAAUAUGGAAAUGUUGUGUUGGAUGUGUGGGAAGAUUAGACGAGAUAGAAUAAAGAAUGGAAGCAUUAGAGAGAGAGAGUUGGGAUAGCACAUAUUGUAGAAAAGGUGGUGCAAACUAAGAUUAGGUGAUUUGGACAUGCAGAGAGGAGACCUCUGGAUAUUGUAAUAAGCAACAUAGUCACUCAAAUCGCUAGAGGCAAAGGAAGAACUAGAAAAACUAUAAGAGAAACUAUUAAGAAAUACCUAGAAUUUAAUGAGCUGGAUAGAGAUAUAAUAUAUGAUAGAACAUUAUGACGUCGUUUGGUCCACGUAGUCAACCCUACUUAGUGGGAUAAGCUUGGUUGUUGUUGUUGAUGUAUGCUUUUCUGACAGCAACUUAUCUCAUAAAAAGGUUACCAAUGCUGCAAUUACAGUCUUCAUACUCCAAAUUGUUCAAUCGAAUUCCUAACUACAAGUUCCUUACAUUGUUUGGUUGUGCAUGCUUCCCAUUUCUCAGGCCCGACGGUCCUCAUAAAUUCUCCUUUUACUCUAAAGGAUGUAUUUUUUGGCAUAGUCCAAUUCACACAAAAAGUUAUACUCGGGAAUUCCCAGCAACUGAUGGUCGUAAAUAUCAUCUUAAAGGAUGUGUUAUUCAACAAGUCUCAUUUCCCAUAUGUUGAACUCUUCCCUCAUUUCAACAGCCCAUUUCUACCUCCUUGAGUCCAUCCAUCUCUUUUAUUUCUCCACUGUUGACAAGCAUCCACAUUUUCCUCCCCUGCAAAGACACCUUUAGCAAUAUCUUCUACCACUAUUUCUCACUUAAGCUUAAAUACUCUUCAAUAUUCAAUUGCUAAUGGGUCAGCAUCUAGGUAGUUAAUCCCAGAUAGCGAUGCAUCGCGGUCAAUCCCAAAAGUGGGAUAGCUCGUUUCGGGAUAGGCGGGAUAACUGCUAUUUUUUGGAUAAAUUACAUGAAUAAUAGUAUAUAAACCUAUAUUUAAUGCAAAAUUAACAAAUGACUCAAACUCUAAAAUAUUCAUAAUUAGUAAUAAAAAUCCACAAGACUUACUCUUAGUCAAAAUAUACAUUGAAAUACAAACAAAAGUCAAGGAGAUAAAGAUGAUGCAUAUUAAAGUCUUUAACACAAAUUAAUUAAAUAACUAUAUAUUAAAACUCAAAUGCAUGUUCUAGCAUAGGAAUCAAAGAUAAGAAUCAUCUUAAUUAACAUAUUUUACUUUACUUCUUACGUGAAAGUAAAAACGACAAAACAGAGAAAAAAGAAAUAAUAGCGGGAUCUCGAUGGGAAACGUUGAGAUUAACUACGUCGGGAUAGUGAAAUCUCGCUCGAAUCUCGUCGGGAUCUUGUUUCACGCUAUCGCAGACCACGCUGUUGCAGUCAUACACUGCACCACACCGGGACAGCGGGAUCUCGCCAGAAAUACUGGGAUUAACUACCUAGGUCAGCAUCACCAUCUUCUAGUGUUUGGUCUCCAGCCUCUGAUUCUUUACAGCAAAUAUUGCAUCGAAGGCCCAUAAUUUACCCCAAUAAUAACAUCUAUCCAAUGCAAACGCCAGUCUGGAAUUGUCAACCCCAGGCGUGUUCCCACCUUGUUACUCACGUGCAGUACAACAUCAACCAAACAGGCCUCAACAGACCUGAAUGGCAAACAGCCAUGAAGAGUAUUUCAAUGCUCUGAUUUGCAGUCAAACCUUGACUUUAGUACCUUUAAACUCUAAAAAGCAAGAUAUAUGUUGCAAAUGAACAUUUAGAAACAAGAACCCAGAUGUUGAAAAGGAUAAAAUAGAGGCAGAUAAAAUAGAGGCAAGAGAUGUUGAAACUGUGUCUUGAACUAACAGUAGAGUCUAUUCCGUAGCCUUAAUGUAAUUAAUGUAAUAAAUACAAAUAAAUGUAGCAGAUUCUAUUAUUAAAGAAGGAAACAAAUCAUAAAAUACAACAUACAAAUAAAACCUAACGAGUCAUCUAGGAUACUAGUCUAAGAUAUAAAAAACAUAUAAUAAGAUAUUUCACGUAUUUUCUAACAGAAUUUGAGACAAACGGUUUCUGGUAAAUUAAUUUUCAUUAACUAAUUGUAAUAUACAAACAGAUAUUUAUAUUUACGGAGUGAAGAUUUUAGAAUUGCAAAAGUAAUGGCAUUAUUGGUGGUGUCGCCGAAAGACGAGUAGGACCAUGUGAAGCAGAUCUGACUAUAGGGUUUUGUUAGACUACAGAUAAGCACUAUCUAAGAUGGUGAGCAUGGAGGUGAUGCGUGGCAGAGACAGCAGUGCAUGUGGCAAAUAUGAUGGUACUGAUUGACCAAACAAUGGUUCUUCCUAUGAACGAAAGUACAAACUUCAGUGUGUUCUCAGCUGACCGAAACUUGAAACUUGAAUGAAAGCCAAACUUCAAAAUAGCAACUCAAAACUCAGAAGAAAGAGCUAUCACCAAGCUCAUACUUUCGAGAUAUUGGCAAGAGAAUAAUCUAAACAGGCCAAGGAAGAUGUUACAACUCAGACACCAUGUCUAAAGAGAGAAAAUAGAGACAAGAGAUGUUGAAAACAUGUGUCUUAACUACAUAACUGGUUCUGUUUCAUAUGCAUUAAGUACAAAAAAAUAUCGGAAAUCUUGUUCUUAUUUACAUGUUAUG